RNA transcript from Triticum aestivum (bread wheat), 1290 nucleotides. RefSeq lists it as uncharacterized. Lineage: Eukaryota; Viridiplantae; Streptophyta; Magnoliopsida; Poales; Poaceae. The transcript is spliced from 6 exons. The record is from RefSeq and is a predicted model, not a curated record.
CGAAAAAAGAUUAUAUUCAAUAUUACCUUUUAUUUUGUUGCAGCGCCAGCCCAUUGCCAUAACUGCAUCCUUUACAUGGACAUCUUCAAUCUACAAUAUAAACCGCGGGAGCCAUUGGUCUCAUUUCAACAAGCUGCUUUCUCUAAGAUGGUAAGGCCUGGUGAUGGAAAAAUAACCAUUGGAGGUCCAUCUAGCAACACAUGUAAGCUUGAAGAUCAUUUUGGAGAGGGCAUCAUGCUCCCCUGCGGUGCUAGUGUUGCUGGAGGAGGCAAUGUUGUCCAGGGCAGCGACGUUCAGCAUCUUGAUGUCCCCAACAAUCUUGUUCCUUUGAUGGUGAAACAAAUAACAUUGCUAACUCCUUCAGCACAAUAUGGAGGUGCCCUGAGCCUCCAUGGUAUGCCUAUCAUCACUGGUCGUCUCGUCGGUAUGAUGCGGAAUCGUCAGGACUUGGACAGCGAAAUUGUGUUUGACUUCGAUGACGGUACUGGCAGGAUUAAGGCCAGGAUAUGGUCAGUGUAGGCUGAGUUCAUGCGUUCCAUGGACACUGCUAAGAAUGGUGAUUACAUUGUUCUGAAUGGAGGUAUCAGGGGUGGUACUCAUGACAUGCACAUACGCGUAUACUCCGUCAGGUACGGUUCUUUUAGUAUGUUGUGACCAUUAAUGCAGUAAUUCGCUGAAAAUGUAGUUCAUUCAGCUGGCCAUGUGUAAUGAAAAUGAUAUUGCAACAUCGUCACCAACUACAACGACAUCACGCACCACUUCCUUUCUUGCAUCUACGUUCACUUGGAUCUGAGAAAGCAGGCGAGUGUGCUUAAAUGUAUUGUCAAGAUCGUCAUGUUUGAAAUCCGUAUGUAUCUACAUAAUUUAUUCUAUCAUUUUUACGUCAAGCAAAUAGGGAUCGGCAAGAGGCUACUUCAGUGGUUCCACAGGAGUGUAUUUCACUGCAUAAUAGAGGCAACUCACUGUUUGACUCUGUACUUCGGGUAUUCUAUCACCCCGGGAUAAUGUAAUUGACACAACAGCCAUGGAGAUCCACUAAUAUACAUAUUGCUAUAUUUUUUAUUUUGUUAUGUCACCGUUUGGUUUCUAACAGAGAGCUUGAAAAUGGCGCGUCAUUUUCUUUGAUAAGGUCUGAAACUGGUGUCGGCGAGGAUCAACUUAGGAUUGUCAUCGGAGCUCAUGUGGCUAUUGGGAAUCUCUUCACCACCAUCGAUGAAGAUCACUUCAAGUGCUCAUUCAAUGGCUAGUGCUCCUAUCCGUCAUGGAGUGAGAACCUUUCGAUGAAACGAG